RNA transcript from Lutra lutra (Eurasian river otter), 1561 nucleotides. It is a transcript of the gene named translation initiation factor IF-2-like, with no coding region annotated. NCBI's taxonomy places the organism in Eukaryota, Metazoa, Chordata, Mammalia, Carnivora, Mustelidae. The record is from RefSeq and is a predicted model, not a curated record. The transcript is spliced from 3 exons.
GGGGCAGCCGCGAGACUCAAAUGACCCCGGGCCCUCGCCCGCCCGGGCCCACCGGGCUUCUCCAAGCCCAGCGUGGCUCAGCCCGCAGGGCGCCAACCAGACACCGACUCCCCUCCCGGGCCAAGUGGGAGGGUUCAACCGGCAAAGUUUCUACCGCAAGGGCGGGCCUCCGUCCCCGCACCGGCCACAUGUGCUACCCGGGAGGAACGGUCACCCACCUCCUCCCGCUACUGCAAGGUGGAACAGCUGCCCCACGCCCCGCUCUCAUUUGUUUUCCACGUUGCAUCAAUUCGGCACGUGAACGCCUGAGGCUCCCGAGUUUCCCGGCCCCGGCCGGCAGGCACGCUCCCCGGGGCAACGGGCCGACGCUUACCUUGGCGGUCGCCAUGCUGCGCCCCGAGUGCGGGCGGCUGCAGGACCCUCCCGGAGGCUGGCUGGCACCGUGGGCCCCGGCGGCUCACUUCCAGUCCGGGCAGCAGCGGGGGUGGCGAUACAGCCCCGCGGCGUGCGCGCCCGGCCUGCCUCCCCACGCCCUCCCGCCGGCGCGGGUCAUGAGGGCGCCGCCCGCCCAUUGGCUGCGCCCGGCCGGGGCCGCCGGGGCGCGCGUGAUCCGACGGCCUCUGCCCUGCGGCCGGGGCGGGCCCGGGUCCGGGGGGCGGUGGACGGGGCGCGCGCACGUGACCCCGGCUGCGCUGUCCAGGGCCGGCGACCUCGGCGGCGCGGGCCGGUGGCCUGGGGGUAGGUGACCUGAUGAGGGAAGCUGCUGACUUCGACUGGGGACGACCAGACCCGGGUACUCAGGGGUGCCUUCCCGACCUCCUUUCUAAAGCUGGAACCUCCUUGUUGUUCUCUAUCUCUGCAUCCUGUUUCUGGCCCUUUUAGCACUUAUGACAGGCCCCAGUCCCAGCCAUAGAGGAAGCAUGGAGACGAAAACACAUCUCUGCCUGAAAUGACCUCCUAUUUUAAGAAAAAACAACAGCCUCAAAAGAAGGAAAGGAAAAACAAAGUUCCACCCAGAAGGAAAUUGUAUGUAACAACCCAAAGGGAGACCAAGAGGAGAGGGUUGGAAUACUGAAAUAAGCAUCAAGCAAAUGGCCUCUGACGUAGUCAUUAGCCUCUAACAAUGUCAGAAUUUGAGCUUUGAGACAACUGCUUUGUGAUUGACAAAAAGAGGUUAGGGUGGGGGAGGAUCUGGACAAAAGCAAGCUGAUUUAUAAGUCCCCUCUGCAGCCGUGGAAACUUUGAUCUUUGAAGUUUGCCUAUUUUUUUCAGGACUCUGCUAGCAUGUAACCCAGGGGAGAUCAGCAACCACAAAACGUUGGCUAUAAUUUUCUGCAAUUUGUCACAUGCCCUCUUCAAGCCCUGGUGAGAUGGUUUUCUUUUGUUUUUAAGCCAUGGAUGAUAGUAAAGUAGUUCAGGCAAGAUAAGAGCAAGCUGGAAUCUUCCCAGUUCUUCUAAACCUGGGGCUACAUUGUCCUACAGGUGUAUUUUAAUUUACUUUUUACUGCAUGUGUAUUUGGUUUAGCUCACAUGGUAGUAAUUUUCCCCCCUCUUUUUGGAU